AACGAACGCUGGCGGCAUGCCUAACACAUGCAAGUCGAACGAGACCUUCGGGUCUAGUGGCGCACGGGUGCGUAACGCGUGGGAACCUGCCCUUAGGUUCGGAAUAACUCCCCGAAAGGGGUGCUAAUACCGGAUAAUGUCUUCGGACCAAAGAUUUAUCGCCUUUGGAUGGGCCCGCGUUGGAUUAGCUAGUUGGUAGGGUAAAAGCCUACCAAGGCGACGAUCCAUAGCUGGUCUGAGAGGAUGAUCAGCCACACUGGGACUGAGACACGACCCAGACUCCUACGGGAGGCAGCAGUGGGGAAUAUUGGACAAUGGGCGAAAGCCUGAUCCAGCAAUGCUGCGUGAGUGAUGAAGGCCUUAGGGUUGUAAAGCUCUUUUACCCGGGAUGAUAAUGACAGUACCGGGAGAAUAAGCUCCGGCUAACUCCGUG
RNAcentral lists this ribosomal RNA (433 nucleotides) under uncultured bacterium. Its description in RNAcentral is "partial 16S ribosomal RNA". It matches the Rfam family "Bacterial small subunit ribosomal RNA", at positions 29 to 507 of the family's 1533-position model. The record is from RNAcentral.